This 189-nucleotide unclassified non-coding RNA is filed under the name soil metagenome. Its description in RNAcentral is "partial internal transcribed spacer 1". The record is from RNAcentral.
CACAAUAAAAUAUGAAGGCUGUACGCGGCUGUGCUCUCGGGCCAGUUUUGCAGAGGCUGAAUUAUUUAUUACCCUUGUCUUUUGCGCACUUGUUGUUUCCUGGGCGGGUUCGCCCGCCACCAGGACCACAUCAUAAACCUUUUUUAUGCAGUUGCAAUCAGCGUCAGUAUAACAAAUGUAAAUCAUUUA